Long non-coding RNA from Gavialis gangeticus (Gharial), 5199 nucleotides. RefSeq lists it as uncharacterized. The transcript has 7 exons. NCBI's taxonomy places the organism in Eukaryota, Metazoa, Chordata, Crocodylia, Gavialidae. The record is from RefSeq and is a predicted model, not a curated record.
GAAUGAAAUAUACGUUUACUAUAAUCUAUCCUUACAAAAACAAAAAAUGCCAUUGAAGUUUUUGGUAGUUUUGUACGAAAAAUAGGUAGAGAAUUAUGUAGAUACAUUGGCAUUUAAAAUAAUGGACCUUAAAAGAAGGCAUGAGUUCACCUUCUGUCCAUCUGCAUAGGAUAGUUUGCAUAGCUAUCAUAACAUACCGAUACAUUAUUGUCUACCCCUAGCUUUAAAAAUUCAGGGCUUAAAAAUCAUGAGGUGGGAUUAACAUCAUUGUAUUUAAAAUAAACUAAUUUUGGAAUUUUUAAUCUUCCUUUGGGUUUAAAGAUUCCAAGAGCUGAGACUUUAAGAAAAGUCCCAAAUAUCACAUUAUACUUGCAAUAAAAUAUGAAGAGUUAGUAACCCUGAAGACAGAAAAAUAUUCCAUACUAGUAAUAUAGGGGGAAAAGUGACAUUUUAAAAGUUGUGAAAUGCUGAGUUUGUCACAAGUACCUUUAUUGCAUCCAAUAUUAGGUAUUCUAAAAGAACAGUGAAGCUUCCUGUCAUCUGUUGAUUUAACUGAGCUUAACAUCCAAUGAAUAAAUUGUAUAUAGUUUCUCAGCUCAUGGGGUAUACGGUGCCCAAGCAUCAAAUAACAAGCUACGCCUUCUACUGUGAAAGGUUUAUAGCUGAGCAACUGCAGGAACACUGCUGAGGAACAGCUGAAAUAAAAUAUUUAAUGGAAACAUAAAUGAAAUGACCAGAUAUUGUUUGAGAAUCCAAGAGCAUAAAUAAGUGUCAUGCCUAUCUUCUGAAUUCUCAGCAAAAAUCACAAUCUAUUAUAUUUAGAAAGAACUCUGGAGCUGAUUCCUGUAGCCCUUGUUCUGUGAAUAGUUUCAUAGAUGAAAAUGAGACAACUCACCGAUUACCUUUCCACAUAAUAAAAGGGUGGCUCAGGCUGACCCUACAUAGUCAGUGUAUCGCCAGAGGUUGACUUUUAUGUUUGAGGGGGGCUAUAACUAGCACUGGAUUGUGCCAGAGGCAUAUUAUACCAGUCAUGUUAAGGUAAAUUUGUGAUAGUUAAACAGUGUUAAGAGGGAAGAGCCCCUAAAUCCCUUCACUCUCCCCUUCCUGGUCCAGAAACAGGUCUAAAUGUGCAAAAUGUUGGAGAAACCCAUCAUCAAAAAGACAAUCCUAGCACGCAAAAUGUUUUAAUCUGUGUAAAUAUGUAUGUGAAUGCAUGUAUACUUAUCCUCUUUCAUGCUUGAAAUUAUGGUACUGUGCAAAAAAUAAUGUGACUCUGAGACUUGUUUUACAUAAUUUUUUCAGCACCCCCCCGCCCGAGCUUUUUAGUUUCAAUAGCUGCUUUUUUGUCAUUAGUUUCUAAACCCGUUGUAAGCGAGGAUUUAACAAUAGCAAAAGGCCAUGUGAAUAUGCAUCCAUCAGGAUAUCUUCAAAAGUUGCAUCCAUUCUUCCUUUUUGGCAUUCUUUCAGUGCUCCCUGUCUAGAGCUAGUCUCUGCUCAGAUACAGUUGCUCCAGCCCAUGACAGCUGCUUAGCAAUUUUAAAUGACAGCACCAUGAAAAUAGAAGGCAGAACCAGACCAGAAAGCUCUUACCAUCAACAGUAGUUUGUGCAGGCCUGUGGGACUCAGGAAACUUCUGAGUUUAGAAAAACAGUUGCAGCACCUAAACAAGGUUAUGGAAUGGAGCUUCAAAAAGUCACAUAAAGUAAGAGGAUAUAAGUAUCCUACCACUGCACCUUAAAGCUGUAUCAUUCCAUUCUGAGAGGGAAACCAGUAGGCCAAACUCAUAAAAAUCAGAGAUGGUUUGUGAAAAUGAGUUAUAAAGAUCCCGAGAGCCAUAAAUAUUAAAGCCCUUAAUGAGGGAUAAUACUGGAUUGAAGAGGGCCAACGAGAUUUAUUGAUACAAACUCAGAGAGAUCACUGUAAAUCAGGACAGUGGAGAAGAUCAGAAUCAGAGUGCUCUGUGGCAAAGAUUCAGCCUGUGGAGGGCACAGAGAGAGGAAAAAAGAGUCCAACAGCAAGAAGGGCUGGCUAUCCAACUACACAAUAGUUGUAGAGAAUUGAAGACCAUCCUCUCAAGGAGCUGAGAGAAUGAAAGCAGGGAGAGCACCAAUAUUUUAUCAAAAAUGACACCCUGAUGCAUCAGUGAACUGAAGAUGUGUGGUUAAAUAUUGAAAAGAAAGAAUAUCUAACAGCUCUCUUAGAACUUAGUGCUUACUCACGAAAAUGUGGAAAAGAAAAAAACAAGUGUUAAUUGCAAGGAAGCGUGAAAUGACCACAAAGAGAAUCUGCACGUCUCAAGGGCCUUUCCCUCAACUAGCAUUCACUAGGAGAUAUUCUGUUACGAACAAAGAAAAGCCACUUAAUUCCAUUAAGCCUUUAUGUGCUGCAUAAAAAAAGACAGCUACUGAGAAUCCAUUACAACAUAACCAUUUUGUGUUUUAUGUGAUAUUUAAUACAUAAUCAUAAUGACUCCAUGGGCAUCAGAAAGAUAUGUAUAUUGUAUAUGACAUUUAAUUCUAGUGUUUAACUUGAUUUGCAUAACUAGUAACUUAUAUUAAUUCUUACAUUUUCUUAAUAGAUCCACACUAAAGUGGGAAUAGAAACUAGGGCUGUGGGAGUUGGUUAUGCCAGAAUAUAGCUUUUCAUGUCAAUUUAGCAGUCCAGAUUCUGUUAAUAUCAUUAAUGACCAAGAACCUGAUAGCUGAUGGCUGUUCUAUAGCUUAUCUGACAUGAACUGCUGAUUUUAAUCCAGUUUCUUGCAGUCUGAUAUAGUCAUCAUGUAAACUAAUGGUGCCCUCAAUUUUCACCCUUAUUAUGAAUCAGUCUUAGAAUUGUGAGCUGGCAUGGAAUGGCAAACUCUUUUGAAUCCUAAAAUUUCUCUCUCCUCAGAGUUUAAUUUGCAUAGUCAUUUUCCUUAGGGUGGGAAGGUGAGAUGAUAAAGCUGGUUCUUAAUGUUAUUUCACUGUGACUUAGAAAACCGUUUUUCUGAUUUUUCAUCAACUUCUUAUAUGAUGUUGGGUAAAUCACCUAGUCAUUCUGUGCCUCAGCUCUUGGUCUGUAAAACUGGGACAAUGGCAUUUCUGCAUUUAUACAGGUGUUCAGAGGCGUCAGAUAGUAAGUUAAUGGAAGCCCUGGGAACACCUAAGGUAGACAGACAAGUAGACUGAUCCAUUCUGUAGACAAACAGAGAAUAAUCUUCACUGCCAAUUUUGUCCUAUCCAUCCAGAACAGUAUACUAAUUUAAAAGCCAAUAAAGAAAACGGACAACAAAGGUAGUUGGUUCUGUUUAGCUGGUAUGAAAGCUUUGAUUUGAAUAUUCUUGUUCAUGAUUUAUAAUCUCUUAAUAACUAAACAUUGAGAAACCAGGAUGCACUUGUCCUGUAUCACAAGAUACAAGGACUUUAUGAUUAUAUUUCUUUUGAUACAGUAUAACACUGUGAACAUUACAGAAGCCAUUUAUAAAAAAAAAAAAGCUAGUAAAGAACAGUAGACCAAACAGUAGCCAUCAUAAGGAGUGUGUGUGUUUGGGCGCGUGCGCACAUACCUACCCAAAUUUCAGUUUCUUAUAUUUAGUAUAAAUUAUUCUAGGGGAGAAGCAGAAACGAGAAUUAGUACAAGCUCUGUCUCAACAACAGACGUGUUGUAAUCAUAUGUUUCCACUAUGGUGACGUACUAGGAAAAGAGAAAGUUAGGAACUCAGCAUUGAUCUGCCAGCAGAGGUUGCUCUUAUAUUAACGAUUAACCUAGGAGCUUAUAACCAGUUAAAAAUAUGAAGAAAUUAAACAAGAUUGUUUUAAUGAUUAAAUGGUCUAAAUGCUGGAAUUUCAUAAAAUAAUUUUUAUCAUGUCAGGUAUGUGGUAAUUUCUGAGAGCUACAUUCUGCCACACUUCGUCUGGUGUAGCAGAACAGUUUUAUCUUCAGGCAGCUCUAUUGAUUUCAAUUAAACACCUUGAGUAGGAAUAUGUUGUUCAUUGCAAAUAAGUAUAUACGAAUUUGGCAUUAGUUACCAAAAAUGAUGUUUUUUCCCCCCAUUUAUUAAUUUCCUUGAAUGUAAAGUGACAUCCCUGAAAUGAAAGCAGUUUAUUGCUUGCUAGGAGCAAACCUGUGCUAAUUUAAGAAAAUCAGAAUUAAAGUUUUUGAAGCAUAUCCAGGCAUGUUUAUAAGGCCUGUAUCAUUCCAAACAGUAGCUUUCCUAAAUAUUCUCCUUCUAAUUUGCCACCAUCCUAAAAUGUUCAACUGACUUAAUAUUAGGUCAUGUGAUUUUAGGUCUCCAACUUCCACCUUAAAUUCUAAGCAAACCACAAACAACUGCAAUGUAUUUAGUCUGAAAACUUCUUAGAGCGCUCAUUACUCAUAACCAAUAGUAAGUAAAGGAGUGAAAUGACCUGGACAAUGGAACAUUUAAAUCUUUGCACAAGAUGCUCUGCUGGUGCUGGAGUGAUUUCACAAAUAACAGCUGUGGAGUUUGUUAACAUAUGAAUCCCCUUGAGAUAAUUUGGAGAAACCAAAUGUGCUAAACUAAACACCUCAUUAAAGCAGUACUUAGAAAAAAGCACAACUAAUUUCAAAUUCCACUUAAAAAAUUUAAGAUGUAGUAAGAGAUAUUCAGUAAUAUAGAAUGCAUUUAUCUGUAUUGUUGGAAACCACCUUUUGAAACAUCUGUAACAUUAUGACUUUUAUGCUAAAAUGCACUUGAGACUGAAGUGAUUUUGAAGUGCAUUCUUUUACAAAAACCAAUUAAAUGAAGGUAAUAAUGUUCUUCACCCUAAACUCAUGACUGAACUAAAUGCACCAGCCCCAAGACUGUCAUCAGGUAUACAGGUCACAGCUUCUAUUGAAUUUUGUGGUUUGAUGAACCAAAACAGAAGCUCAUGGAAGUCAAUGGAAAUUUUUCUCUUCCUUCAAUGGGCUUUGGACCAGGCCCAAUGGGGGCUGUGCUGACGUGUUUGGGGGACAGUUUAGGCCCACAGUGGGAAGCUGUAAUGUAGAAACACUGAAUAAAGGAUAAGGAAGGUCUCUAUACUAAUUCCACAGGAAGACACCUUUCUUCUGCUUUAAGUUAACCCAUGUUACUGGGUAACUGGGUGACGAUUUAUGGCUAUUUUAUAUAGAAGAUGAGUCUAGAGGUACAUACAGAUGUUGAGGAAGGUUAUGGGGAGGUUAGAUCACAUUAGAAGUGGCCACCUGAUCUAACUUUGU